This 832-nucleotide ribosomal RNA is filed under the name Nonomuraea sp. IM-7078. RNAcentral describes it as "bacterial SSU rRNA". It matches the Rfam family "Bacterial small subunit ribosomal RNA", at positions 38 to 889 of the family's 1533-position model. Lineage: Bacteria; Bacillati; Actinomycetota; Actinomycetes; Streptosporangiales; Streptosporangiaceae. The record is from RNAcentral.
GGCGGCGUGCUUAACACAUGCAAGUCGAGCGGAAAGGCCCUUCGGGGGUACUCGAGCGGCGAACGGGUGAGUAACACGUGAGUAACCUGCCCCUGACUCUGGGAUAAGCCUGGGAAACCGGGUCUAAUACCGGAUAUGACCACUUCCGGCAUCGGAUGGUGGUGGAAAGUUUUUUCGGUUGGGGAUGGGCUCGCGGCCUAUCAGCUUGUUGGUGGGGUAGUGGCCUACCAAGGCGACGACGGGUAGCCGGCCUGAGAGGGCGACCGGCCACACUGGGACUGAGACACGGCCCAGACUCCUACGGGAGGCAGCAGUGGGGAAUAUUGCGCAAUGGGCGGAAGCCUGAGCCAGCGACGCCGCGUGGGGGAUGACGGCCUUCGGGUUGUAAACCUCUUUCAGCAGGGACGAAGUUGACGUGUACCUGCAGAAGAAGCGCCGGCUAACUACGUGCCAGCAGCCGCGGUAAUACGUAGGGCGCAAGCGUUGUCCGGAAUUAUUGGGCGUAAAGAGCUCGUAGGUGGCUGGUCGCGUCUGCCGUGAAAGCCCGCAGCUUAACUGCGGGUCUGCGGUGGAUACGGGCCGGCUAGAGGUAGGUAGGGGCAAGUGGAAUUCCUGGUGUAGCGGUGAAAUGCGCAGAUAUCAGGAGGAACACCGGUGGCGAAGGCGGCUUGCUGGGCCUUACCUGACGCUGAGGAGCGAAAGCGUGGGGAGCGAACAGGAUUAGAUACCCUGGUAGUCCACGCUGUAAACGUUGGGCGCUAGGUGUGGGGGUCUUCCACGAUCUCGUGCCGGAGCUAACGCAUUAAGCGCCCCGCCUGGGGAGUACGGCCGC